Molecule: non-coding RNA, 133 nt
Organism: Podarcis muralis (Common wall lizard)
Lineage: Eukaryota; Metazoa; Chordata; Lepidosauria; Squamata; Lacertidae
Source: Ensembl
GUGGCUGCAGUUGGAAUUGGUUGCAUUUGUUAAUCGUAUGAGUGUGACUCCCAACAGCCACGUACAGAAAUCUAUUGGCUCCCACGGCAGAUCCUGUCCAGUCAUCAGGUCUUCUGUGAAUUGCUGCCACGUA